GUUGAACGCUGGCGGCAGGCCUAAUACAUGCAAGUCGAGCGAUCACAGGAGACGGUUUGCUGUUUCACUGACGCGUGGCGGGCGGGUGUGACAUGUCGGGAACACAGCCUUAUGGCGGGGGAUAACUACUGAAACCGGUGGCUAAUCCGGCAUAACGACUCAACACCAAGGUGCGAUAGUUUCAGGCCGCUUUCCUUUGGAUUUUCCCAGAUUGGAUUAGCUAGUAGGUAGGGUAACGGCUAACCUAGGCGACGAUCCCUAGCUGGUCUGAGAGGAUGACCAGCCACACUGGAACUGAGACACGGUCCAGACUCCUACGGGAGGCAGCAGUGGGGAAUCUUCCACAAUGGGCGAAAGCCUGAUGGAGCCACGCCGCGUGUAUGAUGAAGGUCUUCGGGUCGUAAAGUACUUUCAGCGGGGAUGAAGGGAGUUAAGAGAAUCUCUUCGCUCAUUGACGUUACCUGCAGAGGAAGCACCGGCUAACUCCGUG
This 490-nucleotide ribosomal RNA is filed under the name uncultured bacterium. Its description in RNAcentral is "partial 16S ribosomal RNA". It matches the Rfam family "Bacterial small subunit ribosomal RNA", at positions 28 to 507 of the family's 1533-position model. The record is from RNAcentral.